GGAGUUAGCCGGUGCUUCUUCUGUGAGUGAUGUCCUUCCUGCCGGCUAUUAACCAGCAGGCCUUCUUCCUCACUGAAAGUGCUUUACAACCCGAAGGCCUUCUUCACACACGCGGCAUGGCUGGAUCAGGGUUGCCCCCAUUGUCCAAUAUUCCCCACUGCUGCCUCCCGUAGGAGUCUGGGCCGUGUCUCAGUCCCAGUGUGGCUGAUCAUCCUCUCAGACCAGCUACGGAUCGUCGCCUUGGUGAGCCGUUACCUCACCAACCAGCUAAUCCGACAUAGGCUCAUCCGAUAGCGCGAGGCCCGAAGGUCCCCCGCUUUCCCCCGUAGGGCGUAUGCGGUAUUAGCCUGGGUUUCCCCAGGUUAUCCCCCACUACCGGGCAGAUUCCUAUGCAUUACUCACCCGUCCGCCGCUCGCCACCAGGGAGCAAGCUCCCCGUGCUGCCGCUCGACUUGCAUGUGUUAGGCCUGCCGCCAGCGUUCAAUCUGAGCCAGGAUCAAACUCUGA
RNAcentral lists this ribosomal RNA (507 nucleotides) under uncultured bacterium. RNAcentral describes it as "partial 16S ribosomal RNA". The record is from RNAcentral.